GGAACACAUAACUGAGCUACUCCAGCAGCGACUGGCCCAUCACACAGACACACCAUCAGGUUGUGAUUCCUCAAGAAUCUUGCCAAUUGCCUGCACCAGUCUGAGCCCACCAGCUCUCUCAUCAAGCUCCCGCUUUACAUACAGCCUGUAUGUGAACCUUUAUCACUGAUGGAGAAAUUGAAGCACAGAUCAGUCGGUUUCUAGUUGUCUUAUGUGGCUAUUCAUCACUUCCUACGCCAGAACAAACUUUUAAAGAUGACUUAUUCCACAUUUUGUCUCUCCAACAGCAAGACUUAUGUACAUAUGUAUUACUCCAGGUCUCUGCCUGCUGGAGGCACUGCUUUCUGUCCCUGUGGCUGUAACACAUAGCACAGCACCCAAUAGGUAUACAAUAAAUGUUUUUAAAGACAGAGGCUUUAUUAUUUGGUUCAUAAAUAUUCACUUUUCUUUUU
This 452-nucleotide long non-coding RNA is filed under the name Homo sapiens (human). RNAcentral's name for it is "HSALNT0360035". Lineage: Eukaryota; Metazoa; Chordata; Mammalia; Primates; Hominidae. The record is from RNAcentral.